RNAcentral lists this ribosomal RNA (253 nucleotides) under uncultured bacterium. RNAcentral describes it as "partial 16S ribosomal RNA". It matches the Rfam family "Bacterial small subunit ribosomal RNA", at positions 524 to 776 of the family's 1533-position model. The record is from RNAcentral.
UACGUAGGCAGCAAGCGUUGUUCGGAAUUACUGGGCGUAAAGGGCGCGUAGGCGGCCUGCUAAGUCGAACGUGAAAUCCCCGAGCUCAACUCGGGAACUGCGUCCGAUACUGGCAGGCUUGAAUCCGGGAGAGGGAUGCGGAAUUCCAGGUGUAGCGGUGAAAUGCGUAGAUAUCUGGAGGAACACCGGUGGCGAAGGCGGCAUCCUGGACCGGCAUUGACGCUGAGGCGCGAAAGCCAGGGGAGCAAACGGG